This 337-nucleotide unclassified non-coding RNA is filed under the name Zea mays. RNAcentral's name for it is "misc RNA Zm00001eb345860". Lineage: Eukaryota; Viridiplantae; Streptophyta; Magnoliopsida; Poales; Poaceae. The record is from RNAcentral.
GGACCACAGCCAUGGGGGGGAGAGGUCGGGCGUCGACCUUGGGCGCGGCCAGGGAAGGUGGGGGCGCGCCCGGACACCCAGGGAGAAGAGCGCCAUAGAUCAAGCGUGGAUGGGGGAAGGAAGGAGAGGGGCACUAUGGUUGGGAGCUCGACGACCAUGGGAGGUCCCUGCGCACACAAAGGAACAGAGGGAAGAAACAGUGGGGAGGGAAAUGGAGGACGCCGUGGGGUGGUGCCAUGGAGGCCCUGCUCCUGCGCUGGCUGCUGCUGCCGUGAGCAGCGAGGAAGAAGGCAAGGAGUAUGGCUGGUGGCGGCUAGGGAAAAAUGGAGGGUGGGAG